Molecule: non-coding RNA, 102 nt
Organism: Gossypium hirsutum (cotton)
Lineage: Eukaryota; Viridiplantae; Streptophyta; Magnoliopsida; Malvales; Malvaceae
Source: Rfam
AUUCUGCAAUGAUGAAUUAUGAAAAAAAAUUCACAUGUCAGACUUCAGAGAUUUUUUAAAAGAAAAUCUAUGAGAAGAAAAUUCAUAUUUUCUGAGCAGAAG